UAGGGAAAGUUGCAAAGCACUUUGAAGAGAGAGUUAAAGAGGACGUGAAACCGGUAAGGUGGAAACGGAUAGAGUCGGCGUAUCAUUCAAUUAUUCAGUUACAUUAUUUUUAUGUUGUGACCUCUGAGCUCCAGAUUGGGACAGAGGGAAUCAGCAUAAUUUUUUGUGAGUGCAUUUACUUGAUUAUGGUGCUUGCGGGACUGUUUGAGGCAGAUUUGUUUCCGUCGUUUUGAGGCCAGUCUUGCUGGUACCCAAACGGUGUUAGCAUUUUUUGUCUUGGGCAUUUCGAGUCGAUUGGCUCACGUGUAUUUAUUGGACAGAUCUGAGUGUAAGUUACGGUCGCAUGCGACACGUGCUUUUCAAUUAGUUCGGUCACAGUUAAUGCUCUCGUACUCGUUCCCCAUGUAAAAGCCGGUCUUAUCUAUCCGACCCGUCUUGAAACACGGACCAAGGAGUUUAUCGUGUGCGCAAGUUUUUGGGUGUUAAAAACUUAAAAGUCUAAAUGAAAGUCAAAUGACUCUUUAGAGUCUGAUGUGCGAUCUUGUAAAAAAGUGUAGCAUGGCCCCAUUAUCUAACUGCUUUACAGUAGGGUAGGCGGAUUAGAGCUGUACGCGGUGAGACCCGAAAGAUGGUGAACUAUUCCUGAGCAGGACKAAGCCAGCUGAACUCUAGCUCGGUGGAAGUCUCGA
Molecule: ribosomal RNA, 689 nt
Filed under: Meloidogyne incognita (southern root-knot nematode)
Lineage: Eukaryota; Metazoa; Nematoda; Chromadorea; Rhabditida; Meloidogynidae
Description: partial large subunit ribosomal RNA
Source: RNAcentral